This 244-nucleotide ribosomal RNA is filed under the name uncultured Actinomycetes bacterium. RNAcentral's name for it is "uncultured actinobacterium partial 16S ribosomal RNA". It matches the Rfam family "Bacterial small subunit ribosomal RNA", at positions 28 to 276 of the family's 1533-position model. Lineage: Bacteria; Bacillati; Actinomycetota; Actinomycetes. The record is from RNAcentral.
GACGAACGCUGGCGGCGUGCUUAACACAUGCAAGUCGAACGAUGAAGCCUUUCGGGGUGGAUUAGUGGCGAACGGGUGAGUAACACGUGGGUAAUCUGCCCUGCACUCUGGGAUAAGCCCGGGAAACUGGGUCUAAUACCGGAUAUGACUACUGGCCGCAUGGUUGGUGGUGGAAAGUUCCGGCGGUGCAGGAUGAACCCGCGGCCUAUCAGCUUGUUGGUGGGGUAAUGGCCUACCAAGGCGA